GGUGUAGUGCCGGAUGAAACGGAUUGCGAUGAUGACGCAGUGCAUAAGAGGUUUACUCUUCUUCACCU
This 68-nucleotide transfer RNA is filed under the name Bolma rugosa. Its description in RNAcentral is "tRNA-Ile". The record is from RNAcentral. Lineage: Eukaryota; Metazoa; Mollusca; Gastropoda; Trochida; Turbinidae.